Molecule: unclassified non-coding RNA, 153 nt
Filed under: uncultured Coniochaetaceae
Lineage: Eukaryota; Fungi; Ascomycota; Sordariomycetes; Coniochaetales
Description: sequence contains ITS2
Source: RNAcentral
CAGCCCUCAAGCCUCGCUUGGUGUUGGGGCCCUACGGCUGCCGUAGGCCCUGAAAACUAGUGGCGGGCUCGCUAUAACUCCGAGCGUAGUAGAAUCCUAUCUCGCUAGGGAGGUGUGGCGGGUUCCGGCCGUUAAAAGCCUAAUUUUAUACAA